Ruditapes philippinarum (Manila clam) is the source of this 348-nucleotide long non-coding RNA. RefSeq lists it as uncharacterized. The record is from RefSeq and is a predicted model, not a curated record. The transcript is spliced from 2 exons. Lineage: Eukaryota; Metazoa; Mollusca; Bivalvia; Venerida; Veneridae.
UUUAAAGUUGAAGACAGUAUAUAAUUCAUCAAGAACAGUGGAAUCCAGAAUUAAGCCUCAAAUUUGACUGAUUUACUAUAGAACAAAUAGUACGAAAAUUCACCGGUCCGAGUCCUAGAUAAGAAAUAAGAAAAAUUGGAACUGGUUGAUGGAUAUGGAUGAAACUUUGCAUCAGUGAUGUGUUUAUGAAAAGAAGUCAGGAAAAUAAAGGAUAACUGACAGACCGUGCAGUUACCAAAGCCUGGGUUUGAGUAAAGGACCUUACCUUAUCCUGGUAAAGAUCUAUGGAAGGACUCCUUCAGCUCAGUUUGGCAGCAGCUUUGUCAGGACACAUUGAGAAGGUAAUAA